RNAcentral lists this transfer RNA (65 nucleotides) under Anastrepha ornata. Its description in RNAcentral is "tRNA-Leu". Lineage: Eukaryota; Metazoa; Arthropoda; Insecta; Diptera; Tephritidae. The record is from RNAcentral.
ACUAUUUUGGCAGACUAGUGCAAUAAAUUUAGAAUUUAUUUAUGUAGUUUAUACUACAAAUAGUA